This 406-nucleotide ribosomal RNA is filed under the name uncultured bacterium. RNAcentral's name for it is "partial 16S ribosomal RNA". It matches the Rfam family "Bacterial small subunit ribosomal RNA", at positions 30 to 526 of the family's 1533-position model. The record is from RNAcentral.
AUUGAACGCUGUCGGCAGGCCUAACACAUGCAAGUCGGGCGAGUGGCGGACGGGUGAGUAAUGUAUGGGGAUCUGCCUGAUGGCGGGGGAUCACUACUGGAAACGGUAGCUAAUACCGCAUACCCUCAGAUGUACCCCUAUGGGAUUAGCUUGUAGGUGGGGUAACGGCUAACCUAGGCGACGAUCCCUAGCUGGUCUGCGGGGAUGAUCAGCCACACUGGGAAUGAGACACGGUCCAUACUCCUACGGGAGGCAGCAGGGGUGAAGAUUGCACAAGGGGCGCAAGCCUGAUGCAGCCAUGCCGUGUGUAUGAAGAAGGCCUUCGUGUUGUAAAGUACAUUCAGUGGGGAGGCGUGACCGACAGAAGAAGCACCGGCUAACUCCGUGCCAGCAGCCGCGGUAAUAC